Molecule: ribosomal RNA, 492 nt
Filed under: uncultured bacterium
Lineage: Bacteria
Description: partial 16S ribosomal RNA
Rfam family: Bacterial small subunit ribosomal RNA
Source: RNAcentral
AGUGAACGCUGGCGGUAGGCCUAACACAUGCAAGUCGAACGGCAGCACAGUAAGAGCUUGCUCUUACGGGUGGCGAGUGGCGGACGGGUGAGGAAUACAUCGGAAUCUACUUUUUCGUGGGGGAUAACGUAGGGAAACUUACGCUAAUACCGCAUACGACCUACGGGUGAAAGCAGGGGAUCUUCGGACCUUGCGCGAUUGAAUGAGCCGAUGUCGGAUUAGCUAGUUGGCGGGGUAAAGGCCCACCAAGGCGACGAUCCGUAGCUGGUCUGAGAGGAUGAUCAGCCACACUGGAACUGAGACACGGUCCAGGCUCCUACGGGAGGCAGCAGUGGGGAAUUUUGGACAAUGGGCGCAAGCCUGAUCCAGCCAUACCGCGUGGGUGAAGAAGGCCUUCGGGUUGUAAAGCCCUUUUGUUGGGAAAGAAAAGCAGCAGGUUAAUACCCCGCUGUUCUGACGGUACCCAAAGAAUAAGCACCGGCUAACUUCGUG